RNAcentral lists this long non-coding RNA (405 nucleotides) under Drosophila guanche. Lineage: Eukaryota; Metazoa; Arthropoda; Insecta; Diptera; Drosophilidae. The record is from RNAcentral.
GGCACACAGUGGCACCCCCGCAGCAGUCCCAGCAACAGGCAUUGGGAAGGUCGUGAACGCGACAUCGAAACGUAUCUAGAACUGUACAAUGAUACACAAAAGUGUACCAAGAAGUGGCUCGGCUAAGACAUUGAAAUUUAGUUCAAUCCCUCUGGCCUACCCGAUUCUGUGGCGUUUUCUUUGGGCCAUGAGCAAAGCGGUUCAUCGAUCGAUCUCAGUCUAUGCAAAUCAACUGUCAAGUGUUUUCUUUAGCCACAACACUGUGGAUACACUUCCCAAGCAUAGCUUGAGCUUUGUGAGCCUCUUGGGUUACCUUUGUUUAGAUGCAGUAAAUAAGUAUGAUAAUAAAUCUUAGCAAGGACUAAAAUUACUUCGAAGUAUGGUCAAUAAAUAUACAAUAAACGG